Molecule: ribosomal RNA, 329 nt
Filed under: Pantoea sp. S61
Lineage: Bacteria; Pseudomonadati; Pseudomonadota; Gammaproteobacteria; Enterobacterales; Erwiniaceae
Description: partial 23S ribosomal RNA
Rfam family: Bacterial large subunit ribosomal RNA
Source: RNAcentral
GUUGUUGGGUAGGGGAGCGUUCUGUAAGCCGUUGAAGGUGAACUGUGAGGUUUGCUGGAGGUAUCAGAAGUGCGAAUGCUGACAUAAGUAACGAUAAAGCGGGUGAAAAGCCCGCUCGCCGGAAGACCAAGGGUUCCUGUUCAACGUUAAUCGGAGCAGGGUGAGUCGACCCCUAAGGCGAGGCUGAAAAGCGUAGUCGAUGGGAAGCAGGUUAAUAUUCCUGCACUUGGUGUUACUGCGAAGGGGGGACGGAGAAGGCUAGGUUAUCCGGGCGACGGUUGUCCCGGUUUAAGCAUGUAGGCGGAGAGUUUAGGUAAAUCCGGACUCUU